AACGAACGCUGGCGGCAUGCCUAACACAUGCAAGUCGAACGAGACCUUCGGGUCUAGUGGCGCACGGGUGCGUAACGCGUGGGAACCUGCCCUUAGGUUCGGAAUAACUCCCCGAAAGGGGUGCUAAUACCGGAUAAUGUCUUCGGACCAAAGAUUUAUCGCCUUUGGAUGGGCCCGCGUUGGAUUAGCUAGUUGGUAGGGUAAAAGCCUACCAAGGCGACGAUCCAUAGCUGGUCGGAGAGGAUGAUCAGCCACACUGGGACUGAGACACGGCCCAGACUCCUACGGGAGGCAGCAGUGGGGAAUAUUGGACAAGGGGCGAAAGCCUGAUCCAGCAAUGCCGCGUGAGUGAUGAAGGCCUUAGGGUUGUAAAGCUCUUUUACCCGGGAUGAUAAUGACAGUACCGGGAGAAUAAGCUCCGGCUAACUACGUG
Molecule: ribosomal RNA, 433 nt
Filed under: uncultured bacterium
Lineage: Bacteria
Description: partial 16S ribosomal RNA
Rfam family: Bacterial small subunit ribosomal RNA
Source: RNAcentral